This 476-nucleotide ribosomal RNA is filed under the name uncultured bacterium. RNAcentral describes it as "bacterial SSU rRNA". It matches the Rfam family "Bacterial small subunit ribosomal RNA", at positions 32 to 517 of the family's 1533-position model. The record is from RNAcentral.
AAUCAACGCUGGCGGCGUGCCUCAGACAUGCAAGUCGAACGAUUAAAGCUCUCUUCGGAGAGUGCAUAGAGUGGCGCACGGGUGAGUAACACGUAAGUAAUCUACCCUCGAGUGGGGAAUAACGUCCGGAAACGGACGCUAAUACCGCAUAAUGCAGCGGCACCGCAAGGUGACAGUUGUUAAAGGAGAAAUUCGCUUGAGGAGGAGCUUGCGGUAGAUUAGCUAGUGGUAAGGUAAUGGCUUACCAAGGCUACGAUCUAUAACCGGUCUAAGAGGACGGUCGGUCACACUGACACUGAAUAACGGGUCAGACUCCUACGGGAGGCAGCAGUCGGGAAUUUUGGGCAAUGGGGGAAACCCUGACCCAGCAACGCCGCGUGAAGGAUGAAGUAUUUCGGUAUGUAAACUUCGAAAGAAUAGGAAGAAUUAAUGACGGUACUAUUUAUAAGGUCCGGCUAACUACGUGCCAGCAGCCG